CAGCGGUCGCGUCGCUUGGGUUCAUAAUAACUUCUCGAAUCGCAUGGCCUUGUGCCGGCGAUGCAUCAUUCAAAUAUCUGCCCUAUCAACUUUCGAUGGUAGGAUAGUGGCCUACCAUGGUUUUAACGGGUAACGGGGAAUAAGGGUUCGAUUCCGGAGAGGGAGCCUGAGAAACGGCUACCACAUCCAAGGAAGGCAGCAGGCGCGCAAAUUACCCAAUCCCAAUUCGGGGAGGUAGUGACAAUAAAUAACAAUAUAGGGCCCUCUCGGGUCUUAUAAUUGGAAUGAGUACAAUUUAAAUCCCUUAACGAGGAACAAUUGGAGAGCAAGUCUGGUGCCAGCAGCCGCGGUAAUUCCAGCUCCAAUAGCGUAUAUUAAAGUUGUUGCAGUUAAAAAGCUCGUAGUUGAACUUCAGGCCUGGCUGGGUGGUCUGCUUAACGGCAUGUACUGUCUGGCUGGGUCUUACCUCUUGGUGAGCCGGUGUGCCCUUUAUUGGUGUGCAUUGGGGAACCAGGACUUUUACCUUGAGAAAAUUAGAGUGUUCAAAGCAGGCUUAUGCCCGAAUACAUUAGCAUGGAAUAAUAAAAUAGGACGUGUGGUUCUAUUUGUGGUUUCUAGAGUCGCCGUAAUGAUUAAUAGGGGAUAGUUGGGGGCAUUGGUAUUGAGUCGCUUAGAGGUGAAUUCUUGGGAUUGACUCAAGACCAAUAUUGCGAAAGCUUUGGCAAGGAUGUUUCAUUAUCAAGACGAAG
This 749-nucleotide ribosomal RNA is filed under the name uncultured fungus. RNAcentral's name for it is "SSU rRNA". It matches the Rfam family "Eukaryotic small subunit ribosomal RNA", at positions 227 to 988 of the family's 1831-position model. The record is from RNAcentral. Lineage: Eukaryota; Fungi.